CGCGGCUCUCUCUCUCUCUCUCGGCCCGUCUCCCUCCGCUCCGCUAAGCUCGACGCCGGCCGCCGCGCAGCACGCCAUGGAGCCGGACGGCGGCGGCGACGACGACGACGACUACAUGGGGGACCUGUCCCACUUCCUCCCGCCGAGCCCUUCCUCCCCUUCGAGGAGCCUCGGGAGGAGGAAGCAACCACCGGCGGCGCAGGCGCAGGCGCGCGGGCAGGGGCAGGGGCAGGGGCAGGGGAAGCGCGCGAAGGGGGUGCCGUGGCAGGAGAGGCGGCGGCGGGACCGGGAGAGGAAGCAACGUGAGGAGGACGAGCGCACGAUGGCCGGGCUCGCGGAGGCCAUACCGGAGAGCAACGUGGGGUUCAGGCUGCUGAAGCAGAUGGGGUACGACCCGGCGGCCGCUGGCGGCGGCGCCGCCGAGCCGGUCGGCAUCGAGAUCCGCCGCUCCCGGGCCGGGCUUGGCGCUGAACCGGCGGUGGCGGUGGCUCCGCCGCCGCCGCCGCGGCAGCCGUCGGCGGAGGUGGCGGAGGGGGAGAGGAGGCGGGUGGAGGAGAUGGCGGUUGAGCUGAGGGCGAGGCAGAGCACGCAGUGGAGGAGCCGGAGGGUGGUGCGGGACUACCGGAAGGCCGAGGCCGCGCUCGCGCAGCUGGAGAACCGGGAGGUGGCGCCGCCACCGCCGGAGGGGGAGGAGAAGGAGAAGACAGCAGAGGAAGAGGAAGUGAUCACUGAAGAGGAUUUGCAAAACAUAUUGGCUAAGUUGCGCGGUGAACACUACUAUUGCCUUUAUUGUGGUUGCAAGUAUGAAUCAGCAGAAGCAUUGGCAAAUGAAUGCCCUGGGCCAAAUGAAGACGAACAUUAAUUCACUAUGUCAGGGGCGACAAAGAAUGGUCCUUGUUACCACAGUCCACAGUCCUUUUGUUUUAGGAAAUGCUCUGGGACAGGGUCUCGUUUCGAUCAGUGGAAGGGUAUGUGCCCAGCCCCGCAAUGCGUGUGAGCGAUGAGUAUUUCUUCACCAGGGCUACCGUCCGUCCUAUCACUUCUCAAGAAUUGAUGAAGAUUCUCUUAUGGCGGUUUAAAGCUACGAGGGUGGAACUGGUCAACUGGACUUCAGGAAGAGUUUACAGUUCUGCAUAUGUGAAAACAGAAGAUUUUUGUCGAUGGUGAAGAAACAAGUGAUCUGCAACAUAUGACAUUGAUAAGCAGAUGGCGACAAGCAAUUCCAAUCACGGUGAUUCACCUGAUGCUGGAAUCUAUCUAUAGUGCAAUGAUAGUAACAAUUGAGUCUAUCUUGCAGAUGGCUACAGCACUGUUUAGCAUGAUGUCAAACAAGCAAUUCCAAUCACGGCGAUAACUUUUCAAGUUCGUACUGUGUAAAGGAUGGCACUGCUAUUUCUGGUUUUAACAAUCCAUCAUACACCAGUGCAAGGAUAGUUUUACAAUUGUAUCAAUCUUGCAUGUGAAUUUAAGAUCCAUGAUCACUGUUUGUUGAUCACAGGCUAGCGAACAUGUUGCUACAGCACUGUUUAGCAUGAUGUCAAUUAUGUUGCAAUGGCUGCAUCAGUGGCACAGUAUGUGUCCUCUAUGGCCAUUUAUGUGCUCCGUUCUAAGGUGGGCUCUCUCGAUCUGUCGGGACAUGGAGGUGCCUUGUCUGCUGACAGAAAAUUUUUCAGUGCUCACGAGUCACAGCCAAAAGGUGACGAAUCAAUUGGGACGAAAUUUGAAGCAACAACCCAGCAAACAGUGACUGAUAAACGAGAGAUGCUUGCUACAAAUUCCAUGGCGGUAUCUAUCUCGUCACAAAGCCAGUGAUAAUUUUUUUUUGUCUGGAAUAUAUCACUGUUCUCCACUUGUCUGCAAAUCUGAACCUCUUUUUUUUAAAAAAAAAAAGUUUGGAGUGAAGAAGCUGCCAAGAUAGAUAAUCAAAGGCAUCAACAGAACAUCACUGGUGCAGAGAGCAUGCUGCAAAUCCACGCUGUGAAUGUGGUGUCACUUUACACCAACAGACGCCCUUCGAACUGAUUCUUUGCUACAAAUCCACAAUGCUCAGCAGAUCUGCACAAGACAUCAGGUAUACAAAUUCUACAAAUUCUGAAGUACUACUUGGC
Oryza brachyantha (malo sina) is the source of this 2108-nucleotide RNA transcript. It is a transcript of the gene named G patch domain-containing protein 11, with no coding region annotated. The transcript has 6 exons. Lineage: Eukaryota; Viridiplantae; Streptophyta; Magnoliopsida; Poales; Poaceae. The record is from RefSeq and is a predicted model, not a curated record.